UACUUAUCUAUUUAAUUUUAGAUUUUAUUUGGCAUUUGUGAUCUAUUUCUUCUCCGAAGUAUGCAUUUCUUCUGUUUUUCUAGACAUUUGUACAGAUUAUUGUGUUAUCCACGAAAGGUUGAUAGUUUUAAAUGGUAAAUUAUUAGAGGUUUUAUUUGUUUUGCUGUCCAAGUUUUUUUUUUCAUUCAAAAUUAAUAAAUUAAUUUUUGUUCCAUUCAAUAUUUGAAUUGUAAAUCGCGAUUCAUUCAGAUUGAAUAAUAAAUUAAUUUUUGUUUAAUCUCGCGAUGUCUUGAGAAUAGUUAGAUUCUUCAAAGUCGUCAAACUUCAUCGUGAGAAAUAAUUUAAUUUUUAUUGUGUACAUAAACGGUUUAUGUGUUAUUGAUUGAUGAUUGAUCUUUAUACAUGAGUUAUUAUGAGUUAAUUGAGAAGCUAGUAUUUGUUUUUUUAAUUGUAUAGAUAGGUAUAAUUAGUUGUUUACUAGUUUCAUUUAUUUUACAGAUGGACAGUAGUAGUGGUAAUACCUCCUCCUCCCCUCCUAAUGUUAGCCAAACUCCGGAAAAAUAUAGCACCUCUACCUCCCAAGUCCAAUCGAAAGAGACCUAAUAUACCAACCUCGUCUGUGUGGGAUCAUUUCACAAAAAUAGAAGCAAAUCCUAAUGAUGAAGCUAGGUGCAAGUGUAACUAUUGUGGUAAAGAUUAAUGGAAGUACUUAAGAAAUCAAUGUAAAAAGUACCCAUAUAAAGAAGAAGAAAAAGGACAAACCACCCUAACUCUCUACCUUCAAAUGAUGGAAAAAGAGUCAAUGCUAGUAAUUUUGUAACGACAUUGUUUAGCCAACAAGCGUGUAGACUAGCAUGCGCUAAGAUGAUAAUUAUGAAUGAGUUGUCAUUCAAAUUUGUUGAGAUAGAGGAUUUUAGACACUUUUGUAGUGUUUCGUGUCCUAAGUUUGAUGUUCCAUCAAGAGUCACAAUCACUAGAGAUGUAUAUCAACUUUAUCUUGAGGAGAAAAAAAAAAAGUUGAAAUCAUUUUUAGUUAAAAGCUCUCAAAGAGUUUGUCUUACGAUCGACACAUGGACUUCGCUAUAAAAUGUGAGCUACAUGGUCAUCAAAGACUAUUGGGAAGAUGAUUGAGAGUUGUUUGUUGGAAUGGGGAAUUGAAUUUUUUUUUCCAUUACCGUUGAUAAUGCAAGUUCUAAUGAUGUGACUAUUUCUUAUGUUAAGAGAAGACUUAAACGUUGGAAAUCGGUUGUUUUAGAUGGAAAAUUUUGCAUAAUGGAAGAAUUUAAAGCUUGUAUGAUACGUUUGAUCAUCACCUAAGCGAAUAGAAAAAUUUAAAGCUUGUGUGAAACAAGAAAAAAUUCAGUGUAGGACUCUUGUUUGUUGUGGCAACUAGGUGGAAUUCUACUUAUUUAAUGCUUGAACAUGCAAUUAAAUUUGAGAAAGCUUUUAGAACUUUAGAGGAGGAGAAAGAAGACUCAGAUUUUGUUGAUUACUUCGAGGAAGAUGACCGUGGAAAUAAAAGAUUGGGACCCCAAAGUACAUCGGAUUGGUUGACUGUAGGUGUGUUUAUUAAGUUUUUAAAAAGGUUUUAUGAAACCAUCACAACGAUAAGUGGAUCUUCAUAUGUGACUUUGGUUAUAAGGAAAUUGAUAAAAUUCAGUUUGCUUUAAACAAAUGGAGCAAUAAUACCAACUCUAUUCUAAGUAUGAUGGCUAUGAAUAUGAAGACAAAGUUUGAUAAGUAUUGGGGUUCGUUUGAAAAAAUGAAUAAAUUGAUGUUUGUAGCUAUGGUGAUUGAUCUUCUGUACAAGUUAAAGUACUUGAAUUAUUAUCUUUCGAAUGUUUAUGACAGUGAUGUGGUAAUGAAGAAGGGGUAAAAUGACUGAAUGAAUACGAGCUCACUUGAGUGAUUCUUCCUUUCAGUUGAUGGACCGAGAAACUUCUCCCCCCACAUACGAGAAAAAGUCACAAAUAGAGGCGAGAAAAGGCAUAUAAAUUGUUUACUCGAGGGGAUAAUAGAAAGAGAAUGGCUUUCUUGGAAUUUGGCCAGGGCCUGAGUUCGAGAAUGUUAGAUCCUCAAUUCAACAUCGAGUUACUCCACCAGACAUUGAGAGAGCUGUUUCUGAUGUGAGAUCCGAGGAGACUCGACUUGAGCCUCAAAACUAGGUUGCAUGGUCCUCAAGAACAGUUGGUUCCAUAGAAAAUGAGGGGGAAUUGGCCCAAAAAUUGGAUAGGGGGCCAAAGUAAGACAGUGAAAAGAACAGGACAUCUUUCACGUACUGAAAGGCAAGCCUUUCUCAUGGGGAAUUCUCCAACUACGAUCAAGGAAGAGAAAGCGGGAGUAGUCUGUUUUCAUCAUUUAUAUGUAAUAAAGAAUUUCUCAAUGCAAUCAUACAGGACGUCAGAAUAACUGGUAAGGAAUCGUGCCUUGAAAAAAAAAGAACGUCCCAACCAUCAAGACCUCCCCUUUCCUUUGACCAACGGGUCCUCGAACCAACCUGUCGAGCGCCAUAUUAUUGGGAAUAACGAAAGCAUCUCUAAAUACUCAUUUUUGCAUAUCCGAAGCUUCGCGCACUGGGAAAACGCUAACGCGACGGGGCACGAAGUUCGAAAGAAAGGAAUAAAAAAGUUAGAUCAAGAAUAGCCAAAGGCUAGGAAAGCAAGGGGCCUGAUCGACAUUCUUGUUUACUCUGAUCUGGUCGAGGUGGUUUUCGUUUACCAGAUGUGAUGAGUCGACAUCGAGGUGCCAAACGCAGGGGGAUACAAAAAAGUAAUAAGAGAGGCACAUAGACCAAUCAAUCGUAUUGGUCUUCUUCCGCUUAAAUGAUUUAGGAAUGACUGGCAGCUGAUCCCACAAAUUAUGCUAAACCAUCCCGUUCCUUUCUUUGCAGGGUCAUGGUUGGGGAAAGACAAAUUAUAUAGAGCUACAUCAUAUAUAUGUCUAAAGAGUCCUUUUAAGGCUUGUGUACUUUUUUUUUACCAGCCUUGGGUUGGAAAGAGUGCUUCUCGAAACUUGCUCCUUCCUGAGUUUUUGGCAAUAAUUCUCUAUUACAUAGCUCUUCUUCUGAUUAAGGAUAUGGUUGAGAGUGUGAAAUUAUAUUUGUAUCGUCUAUAUGACUUUUACAAAUCACAUAACACUUCGCCUCGAGAUAGUCAUAGUACCAAUGAUUCUCAGCAAUCAAAGACCGCCACUAUAAAUGAAGCUGAUCAUGAGAUGGACGAAGAAAUAGAUGAUCUGUGGAUAACUUUUAAGAGAUUGAGAGAAGAAGAAAGUUCAUCGGAAGUGGAGAAUGAUUUGACUUCUUAUUUGUCUGACAAGGUUAUAAAAGAUAAAGAUGAUAAAAUAAAUGACUACAAAUAUCCCAUUUUAUAAAAAUUGUUCGACAUGUUUUGGCAGUUCCGAUAUCUACAGUCGCUUCUGAAUCUGCAUUUAGUACUGGAGGAAGGAUUCUUGAUUCUUUUCGAAGUUCUUUGACUCCAAAAACAGUGGAGGCCUUGAUAUGUACAAAAAAUUGGAUUCGUGGUGGCUCAGUGUUACUAGAUCUCCAUCCACAACUUGAAGAGUUAGAGACGUGUGCAAAUAUUGAGUCGGGGAGACCAUCAUCUCACUACAAGAAUUUUGGGCUUUAAUGUCUGUUCGUUGUGCAAUCCACGCUGCCGCACUUAGUCGUCGUGUAACCCGCACCCGUUCGUCGUUCGAUUUGAAGUUUAGAUAUGAAGUUCGUCGUUCGUCCAGAUCAGUAUGCUCUUCUUAUCUUUCCUCUCUUAAACUCAUAGCAAUUGUUGUUCUUAUGUUACGCCUCUCAACUGUUUGUGUAAAUGUCUCAAUGAAAGCCAGAUGCGGUUUCACUUCAAUAUGUCUCUCUGCUCCUAGAUUUGGGCCUUUUUUAUGUGUCUAUGGCCUUUGAAAUUCAAUUUGAUUAAUGGUUUUGUUGUAUAUGAUACAUUUGUUGAAGCAUUGGCAAGAGGCGUUGCCAAGAGUUACUCCUGCGUUGGGUAUGUGUGAGCAAGAGCAGUGAAAGCGAAAUGUUGAGCGCAAGGCGCUGGGUAGACAAUUGUGUAGCAAAUGGGUAGCGCUACACGAUGAGGUAGGCGAUCGUGUAGGCAGGCACUGGACGAUCGUGUAGCAAUGCGGCGAGCUAAACGAUGAGGUAGGCGAUGUGUCUAUAGUAGAUGUGCGGAGCUAAGCGAUGUGCUAGACGAUCGUGUAGAUAUGCGCUGGUGCUGGACGAUCGUGUAGGCGGGAGUUGGACGAUGGUAUAGCAGAUGCGCGGGUGCUAAGCAAUAGACUACAUGAUGGUGCUACGCGAUGGGCAUGAGCGACGAUAGCUGUGCUGCGCUAGACAAUGAGCAGAGGCGCUACACGAUAGGCGAAAUGCUAAGCGAUAGGCGAUGACGUUAAGCGAUAGGCGAAUGCAUUAGAUGAUAAGGCGUCAGAGCUAAAUGAUGGAGGUAAACGAUUGGCGUGGUAACUAAACAAUAGCCUAUGCGCGAGAUCGUUUACUAAACGAUUGAGCUACACGAUGGCCUGCUGGAGCUAAGUGAUAGAUGCAGGAACUAAACGAUUGAUUGACUUGAGAACAUGUGCAUUAUGCUAAUUAAAUACAAUAAAAGAAUGUUUGA
Molecule: non-coding RNA, 4622 nt
Organism: Benincasa hispida (wax gourd)
Lineage: Eukaryota; Viridiplantae; Streptophyta; Magnoliopsida; Cucurbitales; Cucurbitaceae
Source: RefSeq, a predicted model, not a curated record